GAUUUCUGGUGUGGUGCGCCGAGCCCGCGUCCGUUUAGGUCGUGAGUGCUUGCUGCGCGCCUACCAUCCUUCCGGAGAGGCCGAUCUGCCCUUAACUGGGAUGGGUUGUGUCGAUCUGGAUCGUUUACUUUGAAAAAAUUAGAGUGUUUAAAGCAGGCGUUUGCUAUGAACACAUUAGCAUGGAAUAAUAAGAUAGGACUUUGGUUCUAUUUUGUUGGUUUCUAGGACUGAAGUAAUGAUUGAUAGGGACAGUUGGGGGUGCUAGUAUUUAACGGCCAGAGGUGAAAUUCUUGGAUUCGUUAAAGACUAACUUAUGCGAAAGCAUU
This 326-nucleotide ribosomal RNA is filed under the name Cercozoa sp. RNAcentral describes it as "SSU rRNA". The stretch from base 112 to 326 matches the Rfam family "Eukaryotic small subunit ribosomal RNA", at positions 739 to 955 of the family's 1831-position model. The record is from RNAcentral. Lineage: Eukaryota; Cercozoa.